Molecule: unclassified non-coding RNA, 186 nt
Filed under: Rhizophagus intraradices
Lineage: Eukaryota; Fungi; Glomeromycota; Glomeromycetes; Glomerales; Glomeraceae
Description: partial internal transcribed spacer region
Rfam family: Eukaryotic small subunit ribosomal RNA (bases 1-46)
Source: RNAcentral
AAGUCGUAACAAGGUUUCCGUAGGUGAACCUGCGGAAGGAUCAUUACCAAUCUUAGCGGGCCUGGUCUUGUCGACCAUGGUUUCGCGAAAAUUGUAUUUAAAACCCCACUCUUAUAUAAAAUGAAUCAUUUUAUUUGUAAUAAUAAUAAAUAAAGAUCACUUUCAACAACGGAUCUCUUGGCUCUC